This 486-nucleotide ribosomal RNA is filed under the name uncultured bacterium. RNAcentral's name for it is "partial 16S ribosomal RNA". It matches the Rfam family "Bacterial small subunit ribosomal RNA", at positions 899 to 1397 of the family's 1533-position model. The record is from RNAcentral.
ACUCAAAUGAAUUGACGGGGGCCCGCACAAGCGGCGGAGCGUGCGGUUUAAUUCGACGCGACGCGCAGAACCUUACCCGGGCUUGACAUGUCCCUGCAUCCCCGUGAAAGCGGGUGGCCUUCGAGGGUGGGGCACAGGUGCUGCAUGGCUGUCGUCAGCUCGUGUCGUGAGAUGUUGGGUUAAGUCCCGCAACGAGCGCAACCCCCGCGGCCAGUUGUAUGAUGUUUCUGGCCGGACCGCCGGUAGCAAGCCGGAGGAAGGUGGGGAUGACGUCAAGUCAGCAUGGCCCUUACGUCCGGGGCGACACGCACGCUACAAUGGCCGGGACAGUGGGUCGCCAAGUCGUGAGGCGGAGCGAAUCCCCCAAACCUGGUCUCAGUUCGGAUCGGGGGCUGCAACUCGCCCCCGUGAAGUCGGAGUCGCUAGUAACCGCGGGUCAGCACUACCGCGGUGAAUACGUUCCCGGGCCUUGCACACACCGCCCGU